GGGGAAUCUUCCGCAAUGGACGAAAGUCUGACGGAGCAACGCCGCGUGAGUGAUGACGGCCUUCGGGUUGUAAAGCUCUGUUAAUCGGGACGAAUGGUUCUUGUGCGAAUAGUGCGAGGAUUUGACGGUACCGGAAUAGAAAGCCACGGCUAACUACGUGCCAGCAGCCGCGGUAAUACGUAGGUGGCAAGCGUUGUCCGGAAUUAUUGGGCGUAAAGCGCGCGCAGGCGGAUUGGUCAGUCUGUCUUAAAAGUUCGGGGCUUAACCCCGUGAUGGGAUGGAAACUGCCAAUCUAGAGUAUCGGAGAGGAAAGUGGAAUUCCUAGUGUAGCGGUGAAAUGCGUAGAUAUUAGGAAGAACACCAGUGGCGAAGGCGACUUUCUGGACGAAAACUGACGCUGAGGCGCGAAAGCCAGGGGAGCGAACGGGAUUAGAUACCCCGGUAGUCCUGGCCGUAAACGAUGGGUACUAGGUGUAGGAGGUAUCGACCCCUUCUGUGCCGGAGUUAACGCAAUAAGUACCCCGCCUGGGGAGUACGACCGCAAGGCUG
This 549-nucleotide ribosomal RNA is filed under the name uncultured bacterium. RNAcentral describes it as "bacterial SSU rRNA". It matches the Rfam family "Bacterial small subunit ribosomal RNA", at positions 356 to 896 of the family's 1533-position model. The record is from RNAcentral.